This 443-nucleotide ribosomal RNA is filed under the name uncultured bacterium. RNAcentral describes it as "partial 16S ribosomal RNA". It matches the Rfam family "Bacterial small subunit ribosomal RNA", at positions 338 to 795 of the family's 1533-position model. The record is from RNAcentral.
CCUACGUGCGGCAGCAGUGGGGAAUAUUGGGCAAUGGGCGCAAGCCUGACCCAGCAACGCCGCGUGAAGGAAGAAGGCUUUCGGGUUGUAAACUUCUUUUCUCAGGGACGAAGAAAGUGACGGUACCUGCGGAUUAAGCCACGGCUAACUACGUGCCAGCAGCCGCGGUAAUCCGUAGGUGGCAAGCGUUAUCCGGAUUUGCUGGGUGUAAAGAGCGUGUAGGCGGGAAGGCAAGUCAGAUGUGAAACCCUUGGGCUCAACCUGUGGCUUGCAGUUGAUACUGGUUUCCUUGAGUACUGGAGAGGCAGACGGAAUUCGUAGUGUAGCGGUGAAAUGCGUAGAUAUCAGGAGGAACACCAGUGGCGAAGGCGGUCUGCUGGACAGUAACUGACGCUGAGGCGCGAAAGCGUGGGGAGCAAACAGGAUUAGAUACCCGUGUAGUC